RNAcentral lists this ribosomal RNA (253 nucleotides) under uncultured bacterium. RNAcentral describes it as "partial 16S ribosomal RNA". It matches the Rfam family "Bacterial small subunit ribosomal RNA", at positions 524 to 776 of the family's 1533-position model. The record is from RNAcentral.
UACGUAGGGGGCUAGCGUUGUCCGGAAUCAUUGGGCGUAAAGAGCGUGUAGGCGGUCCGGUAAGUCCGCUGUGAAAGUCGGGGGUUCAACCCUCGAAUGCCGGUGGAUACUGUCGGGCUAGAGUGCGGAAGAGGCGAGUGGAAUUCCUGGUGUAGCGGUGAAAUGCGCAGAUAUCAGGAGGAACACCUAUUGCGAAGGCAGCUCGCUGGGACGUAACUGACGCUGAGACGCGAAAGCGUGGGGAGCAAACAGG